UUAUAUUGUGGGGACGAGAUAUUUUCUAGAGAGAUCUUUACUUCUUUUCCAAGCACACAUAGUCCAUGGUAAGAGCAGAAGACCUCAGCUGUCACGCCUCUCUUGGAUUUUCCAUCUUCAACCAAAAACCCUAACACCCUUAGAGUCGUCGCCACCCCCUCAUCUCCGCUAAAAAUCCAACCGCCGGAAUCCCUUGAUCACCACACGACCAUCUCCCUCACUCCAAUUCCGUCGUUGACCAUACCUUAACUACCUUCUCUCCAAAAAAACUCCAUCUUCCAGCGACAGAUCAACCUAAUCUCCACAACCAUGGUUGUUGCUUCCCCCACCACCAAAAGACGACUUGCCUCCAGUCACCCGCCUUCACCACACCAGCAAUCCAGACCUAAGCUUUAGCGACAGAGCAGACACGCACAAUCUAGUGCCUCAUUUCUGUCCAUUGAACUCGCCGGAAAUGAGCUACACCAGCCAACGCCCAGCACCCCUCCUCAUCUCUAUUUCUUCUUCUUCACUUCACAACCAAGAAAGUUCCUUCAACACCAACGAACCAAUCAAACUUCAACCCCAAAUCGCUACUCCUUGUCAUGGAGUUUAUCGAUUUUGUUUUUCGGGUUUAGUUCGAGUUCUCCGGCGAGUUUCGCGCCGAAGGUCGUUGUUCGAGGUUGCUGGCGGCUUUCGUUUGAGGUUCUGAUUCCGGUCGUGUAAGUGAAGUCAAGCUUUUUGAAAUACAGAGCUCUGCCUUUGAUGGUGCAUUUUUUGUUUGUAUUCUCUUGUCCUGUUUGGAAAGUCGGCCGCAAGCCAAGGAUGGGAAUUGCACAAUACCUUGAUCACAUCUUGUGUUUUCUUUCUUUAAAUAGGGCUGGCACUUCCACACUACACAAUAAGCGGUUGUUAUUUGGAGAAGGUUUAGGUGUGAGCACUGCUCGGGAUCCUUGAGGUCCUUAGGGAACUCUGACACACCUAGACAUGAAAUUGGCUAUGGA
Nicotiana tabacum (common tobacco) is the source of this 983-nucleotide long non-coding RNA. RefSeq lists it as uncharacterized. Lineage: Eukaryota; Viridiplantae; Streptophyta; Magnoliopsida; Solanales; Solanaceae. The record is from RefSeq and is a predicted model, not a curated record.